UUCAAUUGUUCUCCAUAUCAGAAUUUACCAUUGAACUUCAUUCAAAUGAAUAUGUUCAUAUCUGUGAUGGUGACAAAAGUUUCUUUAAGAAAUCAGGCUAUGUUAGAAUUCAACAAUUUGCCACCUGUAGAAUCAGUUCUCACAUAUCAAUAUGUCCAUGAAAGAGAGAUAAAAAUAGUGUUUACAUGAUAUUUCUCCAUGACAUCAAUAUAUAUAUAUAGUUACUGGACCACCAAAAAUGAUGCUGACCAUGCCCUCCUUUCUCUUUGCUUGAACUGAGUGCCAACCAGGGACCAGAAAUGCAUGGUUGUUCAGAAAUUGAGAAGAGUCCAUUAGAUAACUUUAUUAAGCCGCAUCAAAAUUCACCAUGAUUUCUCAAAUAGAACUUAUGAACUGCAUUAACCAUGUUAGGAUAACAAGAGUAUAUCAAAGUAAGCGGGCAAUUUAGCAGUAACUGCUAAAAGCUUAUAAGAAUUUCUAUGGCAAAAUUACCUUUUUUCAAUCUGGCGCACAACCAAUGAUUAGGGUACAGAGCACACAUCUUUUUGGCAAACUACUAUAAGUGUGAGAUGUCAAUCUUCAAUGCUCCUGUACCAUUUCCAGUAAUUGAAUAGCAUUUCUUUUCCAUGAUGGAUGGAUGGAUGUGUUAAAACAUAGAGAACAUUCUUUUACAGUUAAAAUAAUCAUAGAAGACAUGUAUAUGCAAGGCUUAACUCUGUCAAAGUUCCUUGGAAUAUGAUUCUACCAGUGACAGUCUGAAUUAGACAAUUGCAUGUGGGCUCCCUGAUCUUUGUUGAAAAGAUCAAAGCACCUAUCCAUUAUGAUUCAUACCGUACAUGAACUCAAUUCAGAAGCACUUAAGUGAUUAAGAUGUCAUCUCUAUAUUUUUUAGUACCUAAUUUCACCACUUGUCAAGUAACACUCCUAUCCAUCAUUGUUCUAAUUCUUUUUGUUCUUUCUGAUUACAUAUCAAAGCACCGCACUGUCUAGAUUAGCAAAAUAAAUGGUAGGGGCUGUAUGCUCGCUGCAAAUAAUUUUCAGAAGCGCCAUGAUGUAAAAUCUGCAUGCACCAGAUGAAAGCUCUUAAGAUCCUAGAUUUUUGGUACAAAUUUAAUUUUCAGAAUCAAAUAACUUUACUGCAAAAUUUAAAAUCCCUAACUGGGAGAGAAAUUUGAUACUCAGUCUUUUGUCUCACCUAGAAAUUCCUCGAUCAUUGGAGUAUUAAUCUUGUCUUAGCUUUUGAAGUCACAUUAAACCCAUUGACCACUGUUUUGAAGUCAGAUUAAACCCAUUAAUCACAUGAUGACUAAGAGAUCUAACCUUGGUGUAUUCGUUCCUUAGGGUUGCAAAACGGAUGGCCCUUGCAUGGUGACGACAUUGAUGGUGAUUCUUUUCCUAGAACGGUGGCGGAAGACAAGCGCACCAACUCCGCAUCUCCCGGGGCGACAUCGCAAGUUGGAGGGUGCAGGGUCACAUAUCAGUGCGCACAUUGGCAGCGGGAUCACGUAGAGCAGCGACGCCGCAAGUUGGAGGAUGCUGGGCAAGAUCAAACAAACAAAUUGACGAAUCUUAGAUGUAGCGGUGAUGGGCGAUCCGUUCUCGCUCGUCGGGUGCCACGUGAACCAUGGGCGCGCGGCCGACGAGGAGGGGCCUCCUCUUCACAUGGGUUGGAGGAGACGACGGCGUCGGGUUGGCAGACACGGCGGCGUCGGGUUGGCAGACACGGCGGCGGUGGCUUGGAGGCAGCAACGGAGGUGGGUUGGAAGCGAUGGUGGCGGCGAGAGGUGCGCGCCGUCUCCACAUCGUGGAGGGAAAGGAGGAGGAGGAGGACCCUUAUUAGGGUUUGGUUGGGGAAGGGGAGGCAGCAGGAGCCGAGAGAUCACGGGAUGGGCGGGGGUUGCUACGUGCGGCGCGUGAUGCGGGAGGGAGCGGACGGUGGAGGACAGGAGGAGGAUCGGGUGCGGGAUCGGAGGGCUCAAAAUUGUUUUUUGGCUGACCGAAACCGAGCGAAGCGCAGUACUGUGAUGUUUUGUCGCCGUUCUAGUUUUUUUUAGCUCUAGAGAUGAUAUCAUGAUGCAUUUGGAGGAAAUUGGGUUGUGUUCAUAUCCUCUUUUGUUUCCUAUCGCUCAUCUAUUAAGGUCUGCCAUCAAGGCGAGAAAGCAUCACCCAAUCCUUGUGACAAAGUUGAAAAAAAGUGGCUGUUAAUUAACAGGAGCAUUCAACCACUACAAGAUACUCCCUGUGUUCCAAAUUGUAGGUCGUUUUAGCAUUUUU
Molecule: long non-coding RNA, 2274 nt
Filed under: Setaria italica (foxtail millet)
Lineage: Eukaryota; Viridiplantae; Streptophyta; Magnoliopsida; Poales; Poaceae
Description: long non-coding RNA (SITA_LNC001121)
Source: RNAcentral